GCUCGUAGUUGGAUUUCGGGUGGGGUGGUGCGGUCCGCCUCUGGUGUGCAGCGGCGCCUUCCAUCCUUCUGUUAACGCUUCUUGGUAUUCAGUUACUGGUAGCGGGCUCAGAUAUUUUACCUUGAGAAAAUUAGAGUGUUCCAGGCAGGCUUGCGCCGGAAUACAUUAGCAUGGAAUAAUAGAAUAGGACUUUAGUCUCCUUUGUUGGUUUGAGGGACUGAAGUAAUGAUUAAUAGGGAUAGUUGGGGGCAUUAGUAUUUAAUUGUCAGAGGUGAAAUUCUCGGAUUUGUUAAAGACUAACUUAUGCGAAAGCUUUUGCCAAGGAUGUUUUCAUUAAUCAAGAACGAAAAGUUAGGGGGAUCAAAAGACGAUCAGAUACCGGCCCUAGUCUUAACCCUUAAACUAUGCCGACUAAGGGAUCGGGAGGCGCGCUUAAUCCGCCUUCGGGACCUUUAUGAAGAAACCAAAGUCUUGGGUUCCUGGGGGGGGGUAUGGUCGCAAAGCUUGAAAACUUAAAGGGAAUUGACGGAAGGGGCAACACCCAGGAGGGGGAGUUUGCGGCCUCAUUUUGACUCAACACGGGGAAAACUUACCCAGGCCCGGACUAGUGGAGGAUUGACAGAUGAUAAGCUCUUUCUUGAUUCUAUGGGGGGUGGUGCAUGGCC
This 665-nucleotide ribosomal RNA is filed under the name uncultured eukaryote. Its description in RNAcentral is "bacterial SSU rRNA". It matches the Rfam family "Eukaryotic small subunit ribosomal RNA", at positions 626 to 1289 of the family's 1831-position model. The record is from RNAcentral.